UUAUAAUGCCUUGACCUUUAUUGUGGUCAAAU
Molecule: non-coding RNA, 32 nt
Filed under: Rattus norvegicus (Norway rat)
Lineage: Eukaryota; Metazoa; Chordata; Mammalia; Rodentia; Muridae
Source: RNAcentral